GAUGAACGCUGGCGGCGUGCCUAAUACAUGCAAGUCGAGCGAACAGAUGAGGAGCUUGCUCCUCUGACGUUAGCGGCGGACGGGUGAGUAACACGUGGAUAACCUACCUAUAAGACUGGGAUAACUUCGGGAAACCGGAGCUAAUACCGGAUAAUGUAUUGAACCGCAUGGUUCAAUAGUGAAAGACGGUUUUGCUGUCACUUAUAGAUGGAUCCGCGCCGCAUUAGCUAGUUGGUAAGGUAACGGCUUACCAAGGCAACGAUGCGUAGCCGACCUGAGAGGGUGAUCGGCCACACGGGAACUGAGACACGGUCCAGACUCCUACGGGAGGCAGCAGUAGGGAAUCUUCCGCAAUGGGCGAAAGCCUGACGGAGCAACGCCGCGUGAGUGAUGAAGGUCUUCGGAUCGUAAAACUCUGUUAUUAGGGAAGAACAAAUGUGUAAGUAACUAUGCACGUCUUGACGGUACCUAAUCAGAAAGCCACGGCUAACUACGUG
RNAcentral lists this ribosomal RNA (497 nucleotides) under uncultured bacterium. Its description in RNAcentral is "partial 16S ribosomal RNA". It matches the Rfam family "Bacterial small subunit ribosomal RNA", at positions 28 to 507 of the family's 1533-position model. The record is from RNAcentral.